AUGGAACUGCCGAGGGGGAACCGCCGGACAGUUCGUGAAGUGUUGGCCCUCACCAAAGAAAACAACCCCAAACUGGUUUUCCUGUGUGAGACCAAACAAACUGCUAACAAGGUGGAGAAGAUGCGAUGGAGGCUCGGCUUCAAGGGUUUUCAUGGCGUUGAGAGUAACGGGAGAAGUGGGGGUUUAGCUCUCUUCUGGCAUGAGUCUUUCAUAGUGACAGUUCUUGAAGCUUGCAACCAAUUCAUUGAUGUCCGUGUUCUGGAGGUUGGUUCUGGCAUAUCUUAG
RNAcentral lists this ribosomal RNA (285 nucleotides) under Triticum aestivum (bread wheat). RNAcentral describes it as "partial small subunit ribosomal RNA". The record is from RNAcentral. Lineage: Eukaryota; Viridiplantae; Streptophyta; Magnoliopsida; Poales; Poaceae.